Molecule: long non-coding RNA, 4003 nt
Organism: Musa acuminata AAA Group (dessert banana)
Lineage: Eukaryota; Viridiplantae; Streptophyta; Magnoliopsida; Zingiberales; Musaceae
Exons: 6
Source: RefSeq, a predicted model, not a curated record
GGUUUCCGUCUGUCGCACUCGACCUCAACCGGAGAACGCGCCAUCGCCAAUGGCCGCCGACGGUAACUACCCAGCCCUCGUUCGAUCCAAACCGGCUGCUGAUGAAAGAGAAGACCUCCUCAUCCAAGGCGAGUUCAAUCGGUUGAUAUUAUGGGACCCUAAUCGUUGUUCUCUUUCUUCCUGAUUCUUGAUUUUGCUUGUCAAUCGGGCUCUUCAUAUGUUGGAAGAGGAAGACUUCCAUGACUAUGGCAGUGAUUUCCACGAGGAUUCCCAAUGAGUUCUUGUUUGGGUAAGGCGAGAGGGAGAUUAAGAAGAUGGAUUUUACCCAGCCGGAGCUGAAGUCGGAUCACGUGAACAGGCCGCUUUGGGCCUGUGCCGAUGACCGUAUCUUUUUGCAAACCUUCUUCCCUCUCUACAAGCAAGCCUAUGAUUACCUCGUUGCCGUCACAGAGCCUGUCUGCAGACAUUGUGGCAUGAAUAUAAUUUGACGCCGCACACACUGUGUGCUGCGGUUUCAGUUGGUCUGAAAAUUGAGACCAUCAUCAGUGUUCUGAACAAGCUGUUAGAAAACGAAGUUGCCACCUGGGGUGAUUGACUCUUCGUCCAUCAGAGUCGACCGCCAACUAUGGCAAAGUUAAGCUCGUUCUGAAAAAGACUUGGAAUUUCGUUGAGCCACCAUUUCCAGAGGUAUUGAAGCAAUUGCUUAAGGUGAUGUCAUAUCAAAGGCACGGAUUAACUCUGAGGACGAUUCUCACGAUGCUGAUACAUUCACAAUUAGCAAAUCUGUGUAUGAAAUACGAGGUGGUCAUGAGGACUUACUGAAUGGGGCUAUGUUAGCUGCUGCAGCUGAAGAGAAAGAAACUCAUUUGAAAUAGAACCUUCCCAGCUGCAAUAGAAAAUCUCAUGCCACAAUGUCUGAAUUCGCAGGUAGAAAAUGUCAAGCAACAUUGCUUGCUUAAUGGACUAAACUAUCCUAUCCUCCAGCGGUAUGAUUUUCGCAAUGAUACAGCUAGUCAUUUAUGUCUUUAAAACUUGAUUGAACUUUUUAAGUAUUAAUUGACUUCCAGUGAGUCAUUUUUCUGUUCAAAAAUUGAUUGAGCAAUUUUAAACUAUUCUAUGCUCGAGUAGUUUGAUUUUCAAAAUGAUACAGUGAGUCAUUGUCUGUUUAGAACUUGAUUGAGCUUUCUAAGUAGGAAAUUGACUUCCAGCGAGUCAUAUUUUUGUUUAAAAGUUGAUUGAGAAUUUUAGUUAUUAAAUUGAAGUUCUGAAAUGUUACAGUCAAAAUUUUCAUUUUCAUUUUCUGGUUAGACCUUGAUUAAGAGAGUUGUGCAAACACUCUUGUAGUGUCAUAAUAGCUUGGUUUAGAAGUUCUUGGCACGGAAUUUAGUUUUCUUCUUCUUUACUGUCCGGCUUCUCUAAAUAUGGUAUUCCUUUACAAAAGUCUAGCAGACCAUCAUGACAUACCUAUGUGUUUGCCUAGGUGAUGCAGCAAAGUUCAGUAAUUUAUUCAAAUACUAAAAAAUGGUCUAAAGGCAUACAUGAAAACUCUUUUUUCCAGAAAUGCAUGACAUCCACGUCGGGUCUUGCAGUUUUGGCUUUUAGCAGUAGUUUGUUGCAUAGUUGAUAAAAACAGGGUCAAAUAAUUAUGAUGCUGCAUUAGGAACAGAUGCUAUUGGUUACAUCUUCAUUUCUUGCUUUAGUUAAUUAUAAGAACAAGAAGUAAGAUAAGAAUUUACAUCUACAAGAUAUCAAUACUGUUAACUUGAGUGUAUUUCACAGAGGAAUAUAUUGUACUGUUAGUUUCUCUUCUUCUGUAAGUCUCACAUUUGAGCAUAAUUAAUUUCCAUAAAUCAAUUUGCUUCAUUGUCUACGGAUAUCUCAUUAUUUGCUAGAAGUGCAAAUUUCUCGACUCUGGUUACAGGAUUAGGUAUUCUAGUAGCUUCAUUGAGGGAGAUCAUUGUGCUGUGGAAAUAAUUUCUUCUAUGUCAGGCUCUCCUUUUCCUUGUUUUAAAUAGGUAAUAUUAUGGUUCUCAUGCCACAUAACUAAUGGAGCAAAAUUUUCUUGUUCCAGGUAGACCCUGAUUUGAAUAUAGAAUUGAAACCUCAAGCAUGGGCAUGCUGCCAUAUCUGAUUGAUACACUGGAUAAUAUAUGUUCACCAUAGUCAAAGUCUAUUUUUUAUGGAUUAGAAUGUUGAGCAGUUAGAAAUGAUAUAUACAAGAUGUUUACUGUUACUGAGAUAAGAUGUUGAGAUGGAUGUGUGUUGUUACUAUAAGAAGAUUGGUUUGCAAAUAAUUCCACACAAACAAUAGAAAGCUUUGAGCGAGUAUGGUCAAGAUGAGGGAAAACUACUUAAAUGGGUAUAAACAUGUAUAAGGAGAGCUAUAGAUUUACUGGCCGAAUGAGAUGAGUUAAUUAGGAUUAGUAUCUCUUGUUGGAUCAGUAAUAUUUGCCUCAAUUAAGCUCAAAAAGUCCAUGUAUUUGAGCACAACUGGUUUGGACAAUGGGGCUUCUUAUUGUUGUACUUGAAGGUUGUCCUACUUGGCUUUUUCAGUUCACAAGAUGGUUUCUGUAGUUGGGCAUAGUAAAAAUGGAUUUCUUUCCAUUAAAAAGUUUUUAGACCCUGUUUGUGUAGAAUGAUUUUAUGCAUAAUCCUAGACUAGCCAUGAUCUUGAAAGUUCUCGUGCAUUGACUAAGGAGGUUGACUUUUAUAUUAUGGACACAUCAUUAUUGCAAAUUAUGGUUGUUAAGAACUUUUCUUUAUAUGCAAAUGUUAUAUCAUUUUUUGCAGCUAGACCUAAUCUUAAGAGUAAAAAGAAAAAAGGGUUGUAUUAGGUGGCUAAUAGCUGGUGUAAAUUUGUCACAUCAGAGAAACUCUACCUUUAACAAAUACAUGUUAGGGUACGUUAUCCCAGAGAAGUAAAAUCAUCACUGUUCAAAUUCUUAAAAAGAAUUAUUUGGUUUUUGUUGGGUUAGGACGUCAUCAUCUGGAAAUGAGCCUUGCCACAAUAUGCAGUGCAUGACUAAUGGAUCCAUUAUGAUUUUGGACCGCAUCAGGCAAGGAAGUCAAGAGCAAGCUAACAUUGGCAACUUGGAAUAGGAAUUCUUACAUGCAAGGAACUAGAAUUAGGAGACAUGCUGUUUUCAAGAGGAAAACAUAAUUUGCUUACAAACACUUUGUGGGCAGAAAAAUGAUUAAGAGAACCAGAACUACCAUAAAGUUGGACUUGGUAAACAGGAAAGGAAAAUAUAAGUGGAGAAAAUGUUCUGCAGGUUUACAGGAGAUGUAGAAGAGUAAUUCUUAUUAAAAUUUGUUUAAGGAGAAAUGGUACCUAAUAGUGUUUCAGCGUGUUGUCAAUUAGAGAUGGAUUUUUAAAUUUGCACAUUUUUGGAAAUUUAGACGACUUAAAUUAAGGGCCCAAAAACAGUGAGAAAUAUUAAGUGCAUGGAAGUAAUAAAAAAAAAUAUAUAAAAAAGGAUGUGAUAUAUGAUUCAGGAUUGGGUGGAAACACAGAGUUACAUGCAAAGGCUAAUGUUAUACAUGAAUAACCUAGAGUUCCCUACAUUGAUUAAAAGAUUAAAGUUGAGAAAUAUUAAAAGAACAAACAAGAAUUGGUUGGAGACAUUAAGAAAUAAUAGUUACAUUUCUCUCAACAAAGCUCAACAGUAGGUGGUCCAUGUGGCCGGCUUUAAACAGCUGGGAGCAAUGACUUAUUAUUGUUUAGUUAUGAUUGCCAUCUUAGACAAAUACUUACGAAAUUUUAUCUCAGGAUUUAGUGUAGUCGACAUAAUUAUCAAGUUAUUGGAGAUAUUUAUGAUAACACCAUAACAGUUUUCUUCUCUAAGAAUGAUAAAUACUCUAGUAGUUCUAAAUAUAUUAAGAUAAAAUAUUUAAUGAUUAGAAAAAGAGUUCAAUAAUAAUAAGUGUCAAUUGAGAACCUAAACACCACUUUUAUAAGUGUUUAAAGAAUAUAUUUUUAGAAAGAAGCUUUUGAGCAGGAUGA